This is a non-coding RNA of Bacteroides caecimuris, 75 nucleotides long. NCBI's taxonomy places the organism in Bacteria, Pseudomonadati, Bacteroidota, Bacteroidia, Bacteroidales, Bacteroidaceae. The record is from Rfam.
AGGAGCCGUAUGAGGGGAGACUUUCACGUACGGUUCUGUGAGAAGUUUGGGCUGAAAUGCCCAGACCUACUCGAC